UCAAUCUUUCUCGCCAAAAGGUCUGACAGCUCCCUGCCCUAAGAACACAUUUAAACCACCUAACACUCCCUUAGAUCAUAUGUGGCCAGGAAGAGGACGACCUCUCUGUGGGCUGCAGGAUGAGUUUUCAAUUUAGAAAGAAAGGACAUUUCUGGCACAGAAAGAAAGAAGAGAGGACUUGACUGGGUGGAUGGUAGAGAAACGAAAACGGAGCAGCUUCUUUUUUUUUUUCUUUUUUUUUUUCUUUUUUUUUUGCAUAGGAUCAAUUGUUUGCUGAGGCAGACGAGAAGAGGGUGUCUGGGUGAGCCGUGGACGUGAACUGGAGUGGCACGUUUCCCGUCUGUUCUGGAACAACGAGAGACAUCUGGAAGGCAAGGGGGCGAAACCUAAUGCGUUGUUUUAAAGGGGCUAUAUUUCAUUCAGUAUUUCCCAGCACAUAUUCUGUUUUCAGACAGAUACCGUGAUAUUAAAUGUAUUAAAAAAUAGAAAUUUUUAGUAGCUGGAAAAUUACAGCGUGUCCAUGUGCUUUUGUUUUUGCUUUUAUUUUAUUAUUUGUUUGUUUUUAAGCGUGAAAAAUAUAUUUAAUAAUUAUAAUAAUGGUAUAAUCAUGCG
This is a long non-coding RNA of Oreochromis niloticus (Nile tilapia), 612 nucleotides long. RefSeq lists it as uncharacterized. NCBI's taxonomy places the organism in Eukaryota, Metazoa, Chordata, Actinopteri, Cichliformes, Cichlidae. The record is from RefSeq and is a predicted model, not a curated record. The transcript is spliced from 3 exons.